GAUGAACGCUGGCGGCGUGCCUAAUACAUGCAAGUCGAACGGACAGGCGCCGGCCUUGUUGCUCGGAUGUUAGGGGCGGAGGGGUGAGUAACACGAGGAUAAUCUCCCUAUCACUCUGGGAUAACUUCGGGAAACCGGAGCUAAUACCGGAUGACAUGUUGAACCACAUGCAUCAUCAGUGAAAGACGGUGUUGGUGUCACUGAUAGAUGGAUCCGCGCCGUAUUAGCUGGUUGGUGAGGUAACGGCCUACCAAGGCAGCGAUGCGUAGCCGACCUGAGAGGGGGAUCGCCCACCCUAGAGCUGGGACGCGGACCAGGCUCCUACGAGAGGCAGCAGUAGGGAAUCUUACGCAAUGGUGGAAAGCCUGACGGAGCAGCGCCGCGUGAGUGGAGAAGGUCUUCCGAGCGUAAUGAUCUGUUAUUGGUGGUGAACCAAUGUGUACGUGUCUGUGCACGUCUUGACGGUACCUGAUCAGAAAGCCCCGGCUAACUACGUG
This 497-nucleotide ribosomal RNA is filed under the name uncultured bacterium. RNAcentral describes it as "partial 16S ribosomal RNA". It matches the Rfam family "Bacterial small subunit ribosomal RNA", at positions 28 to 507 of the family's 1533-position model. The record is from RNAcentral.